This 1561-nucleotide long non-coding RNA is filed under the name Phoenix dactylifera (date palm). RNAcentral's name for it is "long non-coding RNA (PDAC_LNC005599)". The record is from RNAcentral. Lineage: Eukaryota; Viridiplantae; Streptophyta; Magnoliopsida; Arecales; Arecaceae.
AAGAGAGGAAGACAGACCUCAGAGGGAGUGGUGAGAGAGAAAUGGCAUCAACUGCUUGCUUCCUCCACCACCAUGCACCCUCCACCUUAAGGACUCCAUCACGUCCCAUGCCGAGCAUCAGGCCUACCCAGCUGGUCUGCAGGGCCCAGAAGCAGGCAGGCCUAGAAGCCGAGAGCGACGCCGUGAUCUCCCGUCGGCUGGCUCUGACGGUCCUCGUCGGCGCUGCUGCCGUCGGUGUGAAGGUCUCGCCUGCCGAUGCCGCCUAUGGGGAAGCAGGUAGUCUUUCCUUCAACUCUUACCCUGCAAUAAAAACACUGGCAAUAAUUAUUCAACUUGAGGCCUGUGAUAGUCCUAGCCAUCAGUAUGUGUAUAAAUUACAUAAGAAUUUGAACAGAAAAGGAAAAUAUNNNNNNNNNNNNNNNNNNNNNNNNNNNNNNNNNNNNNNNNNNNNNNNNNNNUAAAAAUGCCUAAAAUUGUUUAUUGGAUGCAGCUAAUAUCUUUGGGAAGCCGAAGACAGACACAGACUUCUUGCCAAUCAGUGGCGAUGGCUUCAAGCUGAUGAUACCAUCAAAGUGGAACCCAAGCAAAGAGGUGGAGUUUCCUGGUCAGGUGCUGAGGUUUGAAGACAACUUGGACUCCAACAGCAACGUUGGCGUCAUGGUCACCCCCACAACAAAGUCAUCCAUCACUGACUAUGGCAGCCCUGAGGAAUUCCUCUCACAAGUAAUUACAUUUCCUCUCUAUUUUAGUUCUUAAUAUACUAGCAAAGUUUCAAUCAUGGGAGUUUUUUUUUUGAUGUAACAAUCAUGGGAGUUUUCUAAGCCAGAUAAUCUUAACCAGGCCAUACUCAACAGUAUAAAAACAAAUCAUGAGGAACUGUAAGAAAUCCUGAAUAGAUGGUAUGUUAUUAUCCUGUUGUUAUGUGCAUUCCUCAUGCCAAAAUUAAUGCUUCUUAGCUUGUUAGAAUUUGGUGAACCAUGAGUCCUAACCAGUGAAUCUUUCCUGCAUAUGUUCUAUUAAUCCUUUGCCAUCUGUUAUAAUUAAAGGCUGCACCUUCUGCCACUGCUAGCUUUCUACAUUUUCUUGCACUUCAUCCAUAUUCUUUAAGUGAUCCCAUCCAAUUUCCUAAACCUUCAAGAUCAGCUGCGUUUCUUAUUUGGCCCUCCAAUUUUUUUAUGGAUGACUACUUAUCUGAAGAUUUUUUUUGCCGCAUCCACUGUGGCUAAUCAAAUAAAGCUCUAAGUGAUCUCAUAAAAGUUUGACUUUAAGAACAAGAACCAGGGGAGAAAAGUUAUGUCAGCUUCUCGAUAUACACAGUUGGUGAGGAACAAUGAUCAGCAAAAUUCCUCAACAAGUAGCUCAUGGGGUUUCUAUACUAGUUGCUCGAGUUCAAAAAUAAAAAAGAAAAAAGGGGGGGGAGAAAAAAUCAUGUAGUUGCUCAAGACAUUAAAUACAAGAUUUUGGCAACUGCGCAAGGCUGCAGCCCAAGUUUAUAAGCAAAAGUUCUGAUACCAGAAUGCUGGAGGACUUGAGUUACAAUACAUUUCUGUGCAGGUUGAUU